UGUGUUUUGUAAAUGGAGUUUUUUCUUUUGGUUUUGAGUGUCUCAUGUAUCCAGACCAUUGGAUAUUUUUGCCGUCAGGAGUACUUCAGGUUGGAAUGGUUGUCUGGAGGUCAGCUGGUACAAGCCUUCACUGAAAGCAGGAACUUUGAUCAGAUUGACUGGGAUUAGUUCGGUUUUGAGUUUUCCCAAAAGCUGGGUGGCCGCUCUGUCCUAUCCCUUCUAACAUAGGAGUUUUCCCUUGGGAAACAUUUUUUUUCAGAUUUCUUCUUUUUAUUUCCCUUAUUGGUGCCUGUGCAUUCUGUCUUGUGUUCUAUAGCUGUGCAGCCUUCAAGAAGUCUUUUCCUCUUCUUUAUAUCCUAUGGCUGCACACUUGAAAAACAUCUGUCUUGUCUAGCCUUGGCAAUAAAACUCUUCCUUCUGACCUCCUUGAAAUAGCCAACAUUCACCCAGCUCAGCAUAUCCUCGAUGUCCUGCUACAGGUGUGCAGUACUUGUGAAACAGAUUGCUCCAGCUGCCAGGAAACCUACUCCUGUAUAUGCUCCUAAGAACAGGCUUCAGCUCAUGAUAGCAGCCUGUUCCUCUGUGAGAUCUCCAUGAGCUGUGUCUUCCAUCAGGGCAUCUCUCCCUGCUCCAGAGUGGGGCUUUUCCACAGCCUGCAGGUCGUCUUCUUUUGUGAUGGGUAAUUUCCAGAACUCCUGCUUAAAUUGCUACAGGUGAAACCUCUGCAGGAGCCACACAGAUGA
Molecule: long non-coding RNA, 743 nt
Organism: Vidua macroura (Pin-tailed whydah)
Lineage: Eukaryota; Metazoa; Chordata; Aves; Passeriformes; Viduidae
Exons: 3
Source: RefSeq, a predicted model, not a curated record